AGAGUUUGAUCCUGGCUCAGGAUGAACGCUGGCGGCGUGCCUAACACAUGCAAGUCGAGCGAUUCUCUUCGGAGAAGAGCGGCGGACGGGUGAGUAACGCGUGGGUAACCUGCCUCAUACACAUGGAUAACAUACCGAAAGGUAUGCUAAUACAAGAUGAUAUAAGAGAUUCGCAUGGAUUUCUUAUCAAAGCUCCGGCGGUAUGAGAUGGACCCGCGUCUGAUUAGCUAGUUGGUAAGGUAACGGCUUACCAAGGCGACGAUCAGUAGCCGGCCUGAGAGGGUGAACGGCCACAUCGGGACUGAGACACGGCCCAAACUCCUACGGGAGGCAGCAGUGGGGAAUAUUGCACAAUGGGGGAAACCCUGAUGCAGCGACGCCGCGUGAGUGAAGAAGUAUUUCGGUAUGUAAAGCUCUAUCAGCAGGGAAGAAAAUGACGGUACCUGACUAAGAAGCCCCGGCUAACUACGUGCCAGCAGCCGCGGUAAUACGUAGGGGGCAAGCGUUAUCCGGAUUUACUGGGUGUAAAGGGAGCGUAGACGGUAUGGCAAGUCUGAUGUGAAAGCCCGGGGCUCAACCCCGGGACUGCAUUGGAAACUGUCAAUCUAGAGUGCAGGAGAGGUAAGUGGAAUUCCUAGUGUAGCGGUGAAAUGCGUAGAUAUUAGGAGGAACACCAGUGGCGAAGGCGGCUUACUGGACUGUAACUGACGUUGAGGCUCGAAAGUGUGGGGAGCAAACAGGAUUAGAUACCCUGGUAGUCCACACCGUAAACGAUGGAUACUAGGUGUAGGAGGUAUCGACCCCUUCUGUGCCGCAGUUAACACAAUAAGUAUCCCACCUGGGGAGUACGACCGCAAGGUUGAAACUCAAAGGAAUUGACGGGGGCCCGCACAAGCAGUGGAGUAUGUGGUUUAAUUCGAAGCAACGCGAAGAACCUUACCUGGGCUUGACAUCCCGACGACCGGUGUAGAGAUACACCUUUUCUUCGGAACGUCGGUGACAGGUGGUGCAUGGUUGUCGUCAGCUCGUGUCGUGAGAUGUUGGGUUAAGUCCCGCAACGAGCGCAACCCUUACCAUUAGUUGCUACGCAAGAGCACUCUAAUGGGACUGCCGUUGACAAAACGGAGGAAGGUGGGGAUGACGUCAAAUCAUCAUGCCCCUUAUGACCUGGGCUACACACGUACUACAAUGGCAAUAAAACAGAGGGAAGCAAUACAGCGAUGUAAAGCAAAACCCGAAAAAUUGUCUCAGUUCAGAUUGCAGGCUGCAACUCGCCUGCAUGAAGUCGGAAUUGCUAGUAAUCGCGGAUCAGCAUGCCGCGGUGAAUACGUUCCCGGGCCUUGCACUCACCGCCCGUCA
This 1359-nucleotide ribosomal RNA is filed under the name uncultured bacterium. RNAcentral's name for it is "16S ribosomal RNA". It matches the Rfam family "Bacterial small subunit ribosomal RNA". The record is from RNAcentral.